This 496-nucleotide ribosomal RNA is filed under the name uncultured bacterium. Its description in RNAcentral is "bacterial SSU rRNA". It matches the Rfam family "Bacterial small subunit ribosomal RNA", at positions 19 to 507 of the family's 1533-position model. The record is from RNAcentral.
AUGGCUCAGAGUGAACGCUGGCGGCAGGCCUAAUACAUGCAAGUCGAACGGCAGCACAGUGGAGCUUGCUCCAUGGGUGGCGAGUGGCGGACGGAUGAGGAAUACAUGGGAAUCUGCCCAGUCGUGGGGAUAACGUAUGGAAACGUACGCUAAUACCGCAUGCGCCCUUCGGGGAAAGUCGGGGACCGCAAGGCCUGACGCGAUUGGAUGAGCCCAUGUUCGAUUAGCUAGUUGGCGGGUAACGGCCCACCAAGGCGACGAUCAAUAGCUGGUCUGAGAGGAUGAUCAGCCACACUGGAACUGAGACACGGUCCAGACUCCUACGGGAGGCAGCAGUAGGGAAUAUUGGACAAUGGGCGCAAGCCUGAUCCAGCCAUGCCGCGUGAGUGAAGAAGGCCCUCGGGUUGUAAAGCUCUUUUGUUGGGGAAGAAAAGCAGUUGGUUAAUACCCGAUUGUUCUGACGGUACCCAAAGAAUAAGCACCGGCUAACUUCGUG